GCAUCUCUUAGGGGGUAGGAUUUUUGAGCCCAACUUGAUUUUUGUUCCUAAGUGACACCUAAGUCCUAAUUGCUUGGGUUUUUUUUUUUCACCCAGAAGUUUAGAUAACUUUGGUGUAAUGAGGUUGCAGUUUUCCUUUUGUAACAGGUUUGAUCAGAGUUAGCCAUCUAUUUUUGGGGUUUAUUUUGGGCCAAUUACCAAAGGAGUGGAACUCCUUUUUUGUUAGGAAAGGUGAAGGUACAGUUACCAAAGGAGUGGAACUCCUUUUUUGUUAGGAAAGGUGAAGGUACAGUAAUGGUGGAUUUGCACAGCCUCACCAGCAGUGCAGGCACACUACAAGGGGAUGAGGUCUCAGAUUGGUUUAUUU
Macaca mulatta (Rhesus monkey) is the source of this 367-nucleotide non-coding RNA. NCBI's taxonomy places the organism in Eukaryota, Metazoa, Chordata, Mammalia, Primates, Cercopithecidae. The record is from RefSeq and is a predicted model, not a curated record.